This 305-nucleotide ribosomal RNA is filed under the name uncultured bacterium. Its description in RNAcentral is "bacterial SSU rRNA". It matches the Rfam family "Bacterial small subunit ribosomal RNA", at positions 337 to 634 of the family's 1533-position model. The record is from RNAcentral.
GCCUACGGGGGGCAGCAGUAGGGAAUCUUCCACAAUGGGCGAAAGCCUGAUGGAGCAACGCCGCGUGGGUGAAGAAGGUCUUCGGAUCGUAAAACCCUGUUGUUAGAGAGGAAAGUGCGUGAGAGUAACUGUUCACGUUUCGACGGUAUCUAACCAGAAAGCCACGGCUAACUACGUGCCAGCAGCCGCGGUAAUACGUAGGUGGCAAGCGUUAUCCGGAUUUAUUGGGCGUAAAGGGAACGCGGGCGGUCUUUUAAGUCUGAUGUGAAAGCCUUCGGCUUAACCGGAGUAGUGCAUUGGAAACU